Molecule: ribosomal RNA, 253 nt
Filed under: uncultured bacterium
Lineage: Bacteria
Description: partial 16S ribosomal RNA
Rfam family: Bacterial small subunit ribosomal RNA
Source: RNAcentral
UACGUAGGGGGCAAGCGUUAUCCGGAUUUACUGGGUGUAAAGGGAGCGUAGACGGCAGUGCAAGUCUGGAGUGAAAGGCGGGGGCUCAACCCCCGGACUGCUCUGGAAACUGUACGGCUGGAGUGCAGGAGAGGUAAGUGGAAUUCCUAGUGUAGCGGUGGAAUGCGAAGAUAUCACGCAGAACCCCGAUUGCGAAGGCAGCAUGCCGGCUUCCUACUGACGCUGAAGCACGAAAGCGUGGGGAUCGAACAGG